Molecule: transfer RNA, 71 nt
Filed under: Marmota monax (woodchuck)
Lineage: Eukaryota; Metazoa; Chordata; Mammalia; Rodentia; Sciuridae
Also listed under: 3 other names
Rfam family: tRNA
About the family: Transfer RNA (tRNA) molecules are approximately 80 nucleotides in length. Their secondary structure includes four short double-helical elements and three loops (D, anti-codon, and T loops).
Source: Rfam by way of RNAcentral
UGAAAUGUAGCUCAGUGGCAGAGCACUUGCCUAGCAUGCAUGAGGCCCUGGGUUUUAUCCCCACAGUUCAA